Long non-coding RNA from Anguilla anguilla (European eel), 415 nucleotides. RefSeq lists it as uncharacterized. The record is from RefSeq and is a predicted model, not a curated record. The transcript has 3 exons. Lineage: Eukaryota; Metazoa; Chordata; Actinopteri; Anguilliformes; Anguillidae.
CUCUGUACUGCAGGGUAACGUGCCAGAAUUUGCCUACAAGGGUGAUUACAGCAACAGGGGUAAAGCAGAUGUCUUCAUUUAUACCCCAAGCAGGCAAGAUGAAGACUCUUUUUCUUGUUCUCCUCUUCUUCUCCAGUACUUUGAUGCCCACCUCUGCUACAGAAAAAAACAUCCAUGACGAGACGUACAGAGACGUACAGUUCCUGCGAAACCCAGCCGCAGCGUCAGAGACCAAAGCGGCUCACUGCCCCAGAGAUACUCUUCUCCUGCUGGUGGAUCCACGGACGCCCUCAGACGAGAUACAGUACGGUCACACUCAAGGAGCUGUAGCCAAUAGCAGGAACCCGGCUGCUUUGCCCUCUCUGGUGCACGUUACCCAUAAUUCCUCUCUGCUGUGUACACCUGAGAACAUUGG